Molecule: ribosomal RNA, 501 nt
Filed under: uncultured bacterium
Lineage: Bacteria
Description: bacterial SSU rRNA
Rfam family: Bacterial small subunit ribosomal RNA
Source: RNAcentral
AUUGAACGCUGGCGGCGGGCUUAAUACAUGCAAGUCGAGGGGCAGCACGGUUAGCAAUAACUGGUGGCGACCGGCGCACGGGUGCGUAACACGUAUACAAUCUACCUUAAACAGGGGGAUAGCCUUUCGAAAGAGAGAUUAAUACCCCGUAAUAAAUUGAACGGCAUCGUUUGAUUUUGAAAGCUCCGGCGGUUUGAGAUGAGUAUGCGUCUGAUUAGCUAGUUGGUGAGGUAACGGCUCACCAAGGCGACGAUCAGUAGGGGAUCUGAGAGGACUAACCCCCACACUGGUACUGAGACACGGACCAGACUCCUACGGGAGGCAGCAGUAAGGAAUAUUGGUCAAUGGGAGGCAACUCUGAACCAGCCAUGCCGCGUGCAGGAUGACGGCCCUAUGGGUUGUAAACUGCUUUUAUACAAGAGAAAACCCUGGUACGUGUACCAGGUUGAUAGUAUUGUAAGAAUAAGCAUCGGCUAACUUCGUGCCAGCAGCCGCGGUAAU